GUAGGGAAUAUUGCACAAUGGGCGAAAGCCUGAUGCAGCAACGCCGCGUGUACGAAGAAGGUCUUCGGAUCGUAAAGUACUUUUCUGGGAGAUGAGGAAGGACAGUAUCCCGGGAAUAAGAUUCGGCUAACUACGUGCCAGCAGCCGCGGUAACACGUAGGAAUCGAGCGUUAUCCGAAUUUACUGGGCGUAAAGCGCGUGCAGGUGGCACUACAAGUUGGAUGUGAAAGCUCCUGGCUCAACUGGGAGAGGCCGUUCAAAACUGUAGAGCUUGAGUAUGGCAGAGGAAGGUGGAAUUCCCGGUGGAGUAGUGAAAUGCGUAGAUAUCGGGAGGAACACCAGUGGCGAAGGCGGCCUUCUGGGCCAUUACUGACGCUAAGACGCGAAAGCUAGGGUAGCGAAUGGGAUUAGAUACCCUGGUAGUCC
This 426-nucleotide ribosomal RNA is filed under the name uncultured bacterium. Its description in RNAcentral is "bacterial SSU rRNA". It matches the Rfam family "Bacterial small subunit ribosomal RNA", at positions 354 to 796 of the family's 1533-position model. The record is from RNAcentral.